UACAGAGGGUGCGAGCGUUAAUCGGAAUUACUGGGCGUAAAGGGUGCGCAGGCGGAUAUGUAAGUCAGGGGUGAAAUCUUUGGGCUUAACCCGAAAAUUGCCAUUGAUACUAUAUAUCUUGAAUGCUGUGGAGGUAAGCGGAAUAUGUCAUGUAGCGGUGAAAUGCUUAGACAUGACAUAGAACACCUAUUGCGAAGGCAGCUUACUACGCAGAUAUUGACGCUCAUGCACGAAAGCGUGGGGAUCAAACAGG
This 253-nucleotide ribosomal RNA is filed under the name uncultured bacterium. RNAcentral describes it as "partial 16S ribosomal RNA". It matches the Rfam family "Bacterial small subunit ribosomal RNA", at positions 524 to 776 of the family's 1533-position model. The record is from RNAcentral.